UUGGCCCUGAAUCAAGGCCAUCGGUUUGCUGUAGCCGUUGGUUUCAAGCAGGAGCCCAGAGGAAUGUGUUCCUGUGGUAUGUUGGCUAAUCCAGAGCAUCAGAAGGGAAUGGCCAAUUCACUUGGAAGCAACAAGA
Apteryx haastii (Great spotted kiwi) is the source of this 136-nucleotide small nucleolar RNA. Lineage: Eukaryota; Metazoa; Chordata; Aves; Apterygiformes; Apterygidae. The record is from Ensembl.